UACGCUUGCUUGUAUGUAUUUUGAGCACGCUUCAUUGCGCUCUCAGGUGAUUCAUUCACCUUCAACUCGUGCAGCGUGGGUGGAGUUUAGUACCCGUGCUCAUGAGUGCUGUCCACCAUGUUUGUGCAGGUUGGAUGCAAACAAAUCAUAUUAUUUAUCGGAUUAUUUACCAAGAGAUAUGGAUGUAUGGACUCAUUUCGAUAAAACACUUCUGUAACCAAGAGAAGUGUCAUCACUGAAGGACUGGCAGAUGCUACUCAACACUGAACAGUGGUUGCAGUCCAAGACAAAUCAUCUUUAUUAUACUUCUGACUGAACUAGCAAGGAGCAUUAGAGACAAUGAGAAAAACACAAAAGAAGAUACUUUGAAGAAUGCUGGUAAUCAAAACCAACAAGUUUGUCAGGUGCAGAAAUGAAAGCUCCCAAACAAAGAUGUCACCAGAUUAAGAAGUGGAAAGACAUGUUACACCACCGCGACCAUAAAUCCUGAGCAAUUUGAACAACCAUGGGCAACAACCAGGUCUCUUUAAUUCUAUCCACUAGGUCACCUCGAAGCCUGGGAUCGAUUCCACAGAAAUUAAUGUGUAAUUAUGAGAUACCAACUAAAGUAACAGCUGACUCCACCCACCAAGAUGACAGUGGUAUCGAGGGCAGCAUUAGCGGCGUGUGCCAGCCCAGGCUGGAGCUUCAGCAGUGGCUAAAUGGCUUCAUAGGGACCUGCUGGCCUCCCGACGGGCUUGCAGAUGGCCUGAAGUUUUUUUUUUUCUCUGUCUUCCUGACGGGGCUGAGUCAGAGCACCGAUGGCAGCUCACGCACCGGUGGCAUGCUGCCAGCUGAAGAAUCUGUGACGGCGUUGCUCACUGACACCACACGAGCAGACACAAGUGCAUGCACACCUACACAUUCACAAAAUGCUUUGCUCAUAUUCAUAAAUUACGUCUCCUCAUUUUCGCAACCAGAUUGUAUGAGUAUUUUGUUUUUGUUUGAGUAUUGUUUUUUGGUCCAGCACCCAGUUUAGAUUGAUGUGUGUUGCGUGCUUUUGCCUCCUUUUUCUGAGUAGGACUGUAAAAACCAUCCAUCUAACUACGGGACUAUUGGAGUAUGUCAUUGGAGUGUGCAAGCUUUUGUUUUGCUUGUGGUUGCCGGUGUGCAGCUCGCGGGAAGAAAAAAAGGGCCAUUAGGCCUAGCAUACUUGCUAGCAAAGAGAAGUCACAAAGACAAAAACAGGACUUGCUAAAAUUCCUGGUAGCCCUUCGAGUAGGCAUUCUUCAGAUUUUGGUAGCCCAAAAUGAAUUUAACUCGCCCGAAUAAAAAAAAACAUCGGCUGAACUUAACUGUGGACAAAUCAGCAUGAUCAAAAGUUUAAGUGAUAACAAAUAACAAGUAGCCUAGGCAUGCAACGGAUCACAAAAUUCACGGCUCGGAUCAUAUUACAGAUUUUGAGUGGCAGAUUGCAUAUUUAUUUGGAUGAGCAAAAGAAAAAAAGGUUCGUUAUUAUUUAAAUAACAUAUUAUUUAAAGAACACUUUACUUUGAUACCACAGCAAAAACUAGCUAAUGGGAUGUAACGAUUCACUCAACACACAAUGCCAUACGA
Long non-coding RNA from Cyprinus carpio (common carp), 1596 nucleotides. RefSeq lists it as uncharacterized. The transcript has 5 exons. Lineage: Eukaryota; Metazoa; Chordata; Actinopteri; Cypriniformes; Cyprinidae. The record is from RefSeq and is a predicted model, not a curated record.